RNAcentral lists this ribosomal RNA (253 nucleotides) under uncultured bacterium. RNAcentral describes it as "partial 16S ribosomal RNA". It matches the Rfam family "Bacterial small subunit ribosomal RNA", at positions 524 to 776 of the family's 1533-position model. The record is from RNAcentral.
UACGAAGGGGGCUAGCGUUGUUCGGAAUUACUGGGCGUAAAGCGUGCGCAGGCGGCUUCUCAAGUCAGGGGUGAAAGCCCAGAGCUCAACUCUGGAAUUGCCUUUGAGACUGAGUGGCUUGAGUACGAGAGAGGUGAGUGGAAUUCCCAGUGUAGAGGUGAAAUUCGUAGAUAUUGGGAAGAACACCGGUGGCGAAGGCGGCCACCUGGACGGUAACUGACGCUGAGACGCGAAAGCGUGGGGAGCAAACAGG